This 2087-nucleotide unclassified non-coding RNA is filed under the name Dimorphilus gyrociliatus. Its description in RNAcentral is "rING-type domain-containing protein". The record is from RNAcentral. Lineage: Eukaryota; Metazoa; Annelida; Polychaeta; Dinophilidae.
UCUGAAAUAAAAUAACCAAUACAUAGAUGAAGAUUGGAAUGCUUGAUAAUUUAAGAACUUUUGCUGCAUGGCCUAUUCAUAAUCAAGCAAAACCGAUAGAACUGAGCAAUGCAGGAUUUAAAUAUACUGGUAGUAACGAUACCGUUAAGUGUCAAGCUUGUGGACUUAUUUUAUCAAACUGGUUAGCUGCUUAUAACCCAAAAGAUCGACACAAGGCUGAAUCACCAGAUUGUCCUAUCGUGCUAGCCUUUGAAAAUGCAGUUUCUAGUGACAAAAUCAGAUAAAAGACUUGAACAGGAGACAGGGGUGUUGGAUAUGACCCACUUUCAAGCUAGAUUAGAGACAUAUACAAACUGGGUAUUAACAUUCGUUGACAAGGUGAAACUAGCCGAAGCAGGACUCUUUUAUACUGGUGUUGGUGAUAGAGUACAGUGUGCUUUCUGUCAUGGUGUACUAAGAAGUUGGAGAGAAGGUGAUGAACCAAUGCUCGAGCAUAAAAGACAUUAUCCAAAUUGUGGAUUCAUUAUUGGUAGUUUAAAAGACAGUGUUAAGAAAGGAAAUAAUAUGGAAAGAAGAAAAAUUGACAAAAAGAAGUAUGAGUCCAGAAACGACAGAGUAAGAAGUUUUCAUCAAAUAUCAACAAAAGUUAAUAUAGUUAAAUUAAGUACUAACGGAUUCUUUUUUAAUGGUUUGACUAACGAGAUAGAAUGCCAUUCUUGUGGAAGUUCAUUUUCACUUGAACUUGACAUUGAUAAUUUGCAUUCACUUCACGACUCUUCGUGUUCAUAUGCUAUAGAGCCAAAAGAAACUCGUCAACCGCCAAAAGACACUACUGAUGGAUGUGUUAAACAAGGAGUUUUACAAAGUGGACAAAUUAAGACUAGCAUCGAGUCUGACGUAAGAAUGUAUAUGGGGUCGGAUAUAGUACAGAAUGUCCUUAAAAUGGGAUAUACUAGAGAAAUGAUUGAAACUUUCAUAUGGAAAAAAGGAACAAUAUUUACUGACGCGAAUAGUUUAAUAAAUAAUUUCCUCGAUACAAUGCAAGAGGAGACUCUGAUGACGGAAUCUUCAAUACUUGAUGGUUUAAGUAAGGAAAAUGGACAAUCAAGUCCUACAACAAGUAAGGCAAAAAGAAAACGAAAAAAAAAGAAACCUAAAAAAUCUGAUGAAGACCUAACCGAAAAACCUACGGCGAAAGACGAAAUAAAAGAACAAUCAGAUAAUAAUAGCGAUUCAAUAUCAAAGGAUAUUGAACAGCUAAAAGAAAGAAAAGAGAGAUUGGAAGAGGAAAGAAAAUGUGCAAUAUGCUUUGAUAGGGAUAGAAAUACAAUAUUCACCCCUUGUUUUCAUUUUACAACUUGCUUUCAAUGCGCUAAACGAUUAAAUCUGUGUCCUAUGUGCAAUAAACCUAUUAAAAGUAGAUGUCGAGUGGCUCUAUAGCAAAAAUAGAAAUAGAAAAUUACAUCAGUACAAAAGAAAAUAAAAGAAAAGUUAUCUGAAUAUUCAAGGAGAUGAGAUAAAUACUUCUGUGUACAUUGUAAAAAUGUUAACUAAUGUUAUUGAUUCGUAUCUGUGACUUAUUACUUAACUACCGGGAAGUAAAACAAUUUUUACAUGUAUCUUCUACUAUACUGUACGUCAAAUCCAUUUUUAAACUCUUCUUUUGCUCUUUUGGUUUAUGAACUUUACGUGAACUUUAUCAACAAAGAGUGGAUGUUUUUCACUAACUGUGACGUUAAGUUUCGAAUAUACAAUUCAUAUGGUAGCAAUACAAGAUUUAUUGAUAUUUUUACGUUAUAAAAAAAUACUAUUAAUAAAAAUUACGUAUUAAAUUACAGAUAAACAGAAUCCCUCUCGUACUUCCUUUUCCAAAAGCUAUAAGAUUCGCUUAUAGUUUAGUUCAAGAAAAUACCACCUGGUUUAAAUAUCAAUUGUGAACUACCUUCUGGAAUUAAUCUAUAUAGAAUAUCAAGUUAAAUUAAAGAAUUUGAUAGAUGCUGUAGAGAAGUACAACGAAUGGAGAGAAUAUUCUUCUUAAGAUGUUUUAUUGAUGGAAUAUUUAGCUUAAUUAGGGAAUAUUUUUUUUU